AUGGGGGCAGGGAGGCAUGUGUGCAGCGUCUUUUCCACAAAAUACUUCGUAGAUAUCUUGAGGGGUAUGUCCAGUGGCCGGAAGGAUGUCAUCUCAAAAUACGGGUUUGAGCCUCUUCUGAAAUUUGAGAAAACUGGUAUCCCAUCACGAUUUGUCCGCUAUAUUGUCGAAUGUGUAGACACAGUGUCAUCUCAAAUCAUUGUUGCUGAUGAGAAGAUCAUUCCUAUCUCAAAGGAUUCAGUUCCUUGUGUGUUGGGCCUGCUAGACAGUGGUGAUUUAGCGACACAAGACAAGGAUAGUGGGAGGAACUUCAUUUUGUCUCGGUUCAGCUUGAGAGAAAUGCCAAACAUUACUUUCUUUGGAGACAUGCUCAUAUCUUCUGAUUUUCACAGCGAGGAAGGCACUUUCAUAUGCUUCAUGGUGAUCGCAAUGUCGUGCUUCCUUUUUCCAUCUUCCAGCGAUCAGAUUCACAUUGAGUUUUUGACCUUGCUUGUUAAUCCAAAGCGCACAAGUGGUUUUGAUUUCUGUGCGCUUGUGUAUGAUUGGAUACUCACUGGCAUCAACAAGUUUGUGAUUUCUGGCAGAGUACCUGGCAGGAAACCAGAGGUGUUUUGA
This 615-nucleotide ribosomal RNA is filed under the name Triticum aestivum (bread wheat). Its description in RNAcentral is "partial small subunit ribosomal RNA". The record is from RNAcentral. Lineage: Eukaryota; Viridiplantae; Streptophyta; Magnoliopsida; Poales; Poaceae.